CUGGCGCGGCGCGGCUGGGGAGGGAGGGAGCGGCGGGUGCUGCCACGUCCUCUGCGCCGCGCGGCGAGGGAAGGCAGCCCGCCCGCCUGCAGCCCCGCGUGCGGCGGCGCCCGGCUCCGGGAAGUUGCAGGCGGCCGCGGAGCUCGGACCCUUCCCCUCGCCCAGCCGCCGCCCGCCCCUUCCCGCGGGGGAGCACAACUCCGGUCUAUUACAGGUGCUUGUGGACUUCCUGAGGUGAGAGGACCUUAGAGAAAGAGUCUGAAUAAAUAUGGAGUGAGUCAGUUCUGGCCCGUUCAGCACGGCCUUCCAGAGUGGGAGAAUCCAGAGGCAAGAUCUUUCUACUCUGUGUCCAAACUGAACAAAACACAAACACCAACAGCAGAAGUAGGAGAAAGAAGUGACACUGGAGGAUCAAAUCUUGCCCAGGCUAGGGAAGCUAAGAAGCCCAGACAGCAUCUGAGAGCUAGUUUCUUGCACGGCCAACUCUUUGAAGCCAACGGAAUUUUUCAACCCCAUCUUCUAGAAGACCCUGGCCUGUCUUCUGCAGCUCAACUCUUUGCACCCCGUUUUGGUGAACACAGAAUCCCAGGAAGAGAAUGAG
Long non-coding RNA from Rhea pennata, 601 nucleotides. RefSeq lists it as uncharacterized. The transcript is spliced from 5 exons. The record is from RefSeq and is a predicted model, not a curated record. NCBI's taxonomy places the organism in Eukaryota, Metazoa, Chordata, Aves, Rheiformes, Rheidae.